CCUACGGGUGGCUGCAGUGGGGAAUAUUGGACAAUGGGCGAAAGCCUGAUCCAGCCAUGCCGCGUGUGUGAAGAAGGCCUUCGGGUUGUAAAGCACUUUCAGUGGGGAAGAAAGCCUUGGGGCUAAUACCCUCGAGGAAGGACAUCACCCACAGAAGAAGCACCGGCUAACUCCGUGCCAGCAGCCGCGGUAAUACGGAGGGUGCGAGCGUUAAUCGGAAUUACUGGGCGUAAAGCGCGCGUAGGCGGUCUGAUAAGCCGGUUGUGAAAGCCCCGGGCUCAACCUGGGAACGGCAUCCGGAACUGUCAGGCUAGAGUGCAGGAGAGGAAGGUAGAAUUCCCGGUGUAGCGGUGAAAUGCGUAGAGAUCGGGAGGAAUACCAGUGGCGAAGGCGGCCUUCUGGACUGACACUGACGCUGAGGUGCGAAAGCGUGGGUAGCAAACAAGAUUAGAUACCCCAGUAGUC
This 465-nucleotide ribosomal RNA is filed under the name Vreelandella stevensii. RNAcentral describes it as "partial 16S ribosomal RNA". It matches the Rfam family "Bacterial small subunit ribosomal RNA", at positions 338 to 795 of the family's 1533-position model. The record is from RNAcentral. Lineage: Bacteria; Pseudomonadati; Pseudomonadota; Gammaproteobacteria; Oceanospirillales; Halomonadaceae.